AGCAGCCGCGGUAAUUCCAGCUCCAAUAGCGUAUAUUAAAGUUGUUGCAGUUAAAAAGCUCGUAGUUGAAUUUCGGGGUUAGUAGAUUGGUCAUGCCUCUGGUAUGUACUGGUCUCACUGAUUCCUCCUUCCUGAUGAACCUUAAUGCCAUUAAUUUGGUGUUUUGGGGAAUUUGGACUGUUACUUUGAAAAAAUUAGAGUGUUUAAAGCAAGCUAACGCUUGAAUACAUUAGCAUGGAAUAAUGAAAUAGGACGUUCGAUCCUAUUUUGUUGGUUUCUAGGAUUGACGUAAUGAUUAAUAGGGAUAGUUGGGGGCAUUAGUAUUCAAUUGUCAGAGGUGAAAUUCUUGGAUUUAUUGAAGACUAACUACUGCGAAAGCAUUUGCCAAGGAUGUUUUCAUUAAUCAAGAACGAAAGUUAGGGGAUCGAAGACGAUCAGACACCGUCGUAGUCUUAACCAUAAACUAUGCCGACUAGGGAUCGGAUGAUGUUAAUUUUUUAAUGACUCA
This 508-nucleotide ribosomal RNA is filed under the name uncultured glomeraceous AM fungus. RNAcentral's name for it is "SSU rRNA". It matches the Rfam family "Eukaryotic small subunit ribosomal RNA", at positions 569 to 1078 of the family's 1831-position model. The record is from RNAcentral. Lineage: Eukaryota; Fungi; Glomeromycota; Glomeromycetes; Glomerales; Glomeraceae.